CAGCACCUCAAGUGGUCAGGAUGAUUAUUGGGCCUAAAGCAUCCGUAGCCGGCGCUGCAAGUUUUCGGUUAAAUCUGUACGCUCAACGUACAGGCUGCCGGGAAUACUGCAGCGCUAGGGAGUGGGAGAGGUAGACGGUACUCGGUAGGAAGGGGUAAAAUCCUUUGAUCUAUUGAUGACCACCUGUGGCGAAGGCGGUCUACCAGAACACGUCCGACGGUGAGGGAUGAAAGCUGGGGGAGCAAACCGGAUUAGAUACCCGAGUAGUCC
RNAcentral lists this ribosomal RNA (270 nucleotides) under uncultured archaeon. RNAcentral's name for it is "partial 16S ribosomal RNA". It matches the Rfam family "Archaeal small subunit ribosomal RNA", at positions 477 to 747 of the family's 1478-position model. The record is from RNAcentral.